RNAcentral lists this microRNA (18 nucleotides) under Corchorus olitorius. RNAcentral describes it as "hsa-miR-43". Lineage: Eukaryota; Viridiplantae; Streptophyta; Magnoliopsida; Malvales; Malvaceae. The record is from RNAcentral.
GAAAGAGAUCUGAGUGGG